This 76-nucleotide transfer RNA is filed under the name Planctomycetota bacterium. RNAcentral's name for it is "Planctomycetes bacterium (soil metagenome) tRNA-Ala". It matches the Rfam family "tRNA". From Rfam's summary of the family: Transfer RNA (tRNA) molecules are approximately 80 nucleotides in length. The record is from RNAcentral. Lineage: Bacteria; Pseudomonadati; Planctomycetota.
GGGGGUAUAGCUCAGUUGGUAGAGCGUCUGCAUGGCAUGCAGAAGGUCAGGAGUUCGAAUCUCCUUACCUCCACCA